CUUGACCGAGCCCAGCCACAACGGCUGGUCGGCCGAGCGAUCCCGGCCGUAGGCGGACAACAGGGCCUGCGCCUC
Molecule: antisense RNA, 75 nt
Filed under: Actinoalloteichus hoggarensis
Lineage: Bacteria; Bacillati; Actinomycetota; Actinomycetes; Pseudonocardiales; Pseudonocardiaceae
Description: ASpks TB sRNA
Rfam family: ASpks TB sRNA
Source: Rfam by way of RNAcentral